RNAcentral lists this ribosomal RNA (497 nucleotides) under uncultured bacterium. RNAcentral's name for it is "partial 16S ribosomal RNA". It matches the Rfam family "Bacterial small subunit ribosomal RNA", at positions 28 to 507 of the family's 1533-position model. The record is from RNAcentral.
GAUGAACGCUGGCGGCGUGCCUAAUACAUGCAAGUCGAGCGGACGGACGCGGCGCUUGCUUCUCUGAUGUUAGCGGCGGACGGGUGUGUAACGCGUGUAUAACCUACCUAUAAGACUGGGAUAACUUCGGGACACCGGAGCUUAUACCGUAUAAUAUUUUGAACCGCAGGGUGCAAAAGUGAAAGACGGUCUUGCUGUAUCUUAUAGCUGGAUCCGCGCUGCAUUGGAUAGUUGGUAAGUUAACGGGUUACCAAGGCUACGAUGCAUAGCCGAAGUGAGAGAGUGGUAGGCGACCUGGGAGCGUGACCAGCGUCAUGGCGACUGAGAGAGGCGGCAGACGGGAAUGUGACGCAAUGGGCGAAAGCCUGACGCAGCAAGCGCGAGUGAGUGAUGACAGCCCUCGGAUCGUAAAACUCGGUUAUUAGGGAAGAACAGAUGUCGCCGUAGAUGAGCACAUCGUGACGGUAACUAAUAAAAAAGCCCCGGCUAACUACGUG